CCUACGGGAGGCAGCAGUGGGGAAUUUUGGACAAUGGGCGCAAGCCUGAUCCAGCAAUGCCGCGUGAGUGAAGAAGGCCUUCGGGUUGUAAAGCUCUUUUGUCAGGGAAGAAACGGUCUUGGAUAAUACCUGGGGCUAAUGACGGUACCUGAAGAAUAAGCACCGGCUAAGCUACGUGCCAGCAGCCGCGGUAAU
RNAcentral lists this ribosomal RNA (195 nucleotides) under uncultured bacterium. Its description in RNAcentral is "partial 16S ribosomal RNA". It matches the Rfam family "Bacterial small subunit ribosomal RNA", at positions 338 to 524 of the family's 1533-position model. The record is from RNAcentral.